Molecule: ribosomal RNA, 490 nt
Filed under: uncultured bacterium
Lineage: Bacteria
Description: partial 16S ribosomal RNA
Rfam family: Bacterial small subunit ribosomal RNA
Source: RNAcentral
AUUGAACGCUGGCGGCAGGCCUAACACAUGCAAGUCGAACGGUAACAGGAAGACGCUUGCUUCUUUGCUGACGAGUGGCGGACGGGUGAGUAAUGUCUGGGAAACUGCCUGAUGGAGGGGGAUAACUACUGGAAACGGUAGCUAAUACCGCAUAACGUCGCAAGACCAAAGAGGGGGACCUUCGGGCCUCUUGCCAUCGGAUGUGCCCAGAUGGGAUUAGCUAGUAGGUGGGGUAACGGCUCACCUAGGCGACGAUCCCUAGCUGGUCUGAGAGGAUGACCAGCCACACUGGAACUGAGACACGGUCCAGACUCCUACGGGAGGCAGCAGUGGGGAAUAUUGCACAAUGGGCGCAAGCCUGAUGCAGCCACGCCGCGUGUAUGAAGAAGGCCUUCGGGUUGUAAAGUACUUUCAGCGGGGAGGAAGGGAGUAAAGUUAAUACCUUUGCUCAUUGACGUUACCCGCAGAAGAAGCACCGGCUAACUCCGUG